Molecule: ribosomal RNA, 566 nt
Filed under: Lachancea cidri
Lineage: Eukaryota; Fungi; Ascomycota; Saccharomycetes; Saccharomycetales; Saccharomycetaceae
Description: LSU rRNA
Rfam family: Eukaryotic large subunit ribosomal RNA
Source: RNAcentral
AAACAACCGGGAUUGCUUAGUAACGGCGAGUGAAGCGGCAAAAGCUCAAAUUUGAAAUCUGGCACCUUCGGUGUCCGAGUUGUAAUUUGAAGAAGUAACUUUGGGGCUGGUCCUUGUCUAUGUUCCUUGGAACAGGACGUCAUAGAGGGUGAGAAUCCCGUGUGGCGAGGAUCCCAGUUCUUUGUAAAGUGCUUUCGACGAGUCGAGUUGUUUGGGAAUGCAGCUCUAAGUGGGUGGUAAAUUCCAUCUAAAGCUAAAUAUUGGCGAGAGACCGAUAGCGAACAAGUACAGUGAUGGAAAGAUGAAAAGAACUUUGAAAAGAGAGUGAAAAAGUACGUGAAAUUGUUGAAAGGGAAGGGCAUUUGAUCAGACAUGGUGUUUUGCGACCCUCGCUCCUUGUGGGUGGGGAUCUCGCAGCUCACUGGGCCAACAUCGGUUUUGGCGGCAGGAUAAAACUUUGGGAAUGUAACUUGUCUUCGGAGAAGUAUUAUAGCCCAAGGCAAUACUGCCAGCCGGGACCGAGGACUGCGACUUUUGUCAAGGAUGUUGGCAUAAGCUGGUAAUCC